Non-coding RNA from Myotis davidii, 81 nucleotides. NCBI's taxonomy places the organism in Eukaryota, Metazoa, Chordata, Mammalia, Chiroptera, Vespertilionidae. The record is from Rfam.
AGGCCCGGAGAGAGAAGCAGGGUUUGAUCUGUAGCCUCUGUGGCAGCUGCUGAUCCACCCUUGUCUCUCUCUUUCUCUCUG